This 501-nucleotide ribosomal RNA is filed under the name uncultured bacterium. RNAcentral's name for it is "partial 16S ribosomal RNA". It matches the Rfam family "Bacterial small subunit ribosomal RNA", at positions 30 to 523 of the family's 1533-position model. The record is from RNAcentral.
AUUGAACGCUGGCGGCAGGCUUAACACAUGCAAGUCGAGCGGAGAUGAGGUGCUUGCACCUUAUCUUAGCGGCGGACGGGUGAGUAAUGCUUAGGAAUCUGCCUAUUAGUGGGGGACAACAUUCCGAAAGGAAUGCUAAUACCGCAUACGUCCUACGGGAGAAAGCAGGGGAUCUUCGGGCCUUGCGCUAAUAGAUGAGCCUAAGUCGGAUUAGCUAGUUGGUGGGGUAAAGGCCUACCAAGGCGACGAUCUGUAGCGGGUCUGAGAGGAUGAUCCGCCACACGGGGACUGAGACACGGCCCAGACUCCUACGGGAGGCAGCAGUGGGGAAUAUUGGACAAUGGGGGAAACCCUGAUCCAGCCAUGCCGCGUGUGUGAAGAAGGCCUUAUGGUUGUAAAGCACUUUAAGCGAGGAGGAGGCUACUGAGACUAAUACUCUUGGAUAGUGGACGUUACUCGCAGAAUAAGCACCGGCUAACUCUGUGCCAGCCGCCGCCGUAA